Molecule: ribosomal RNA, 446 nt
Filed under: uncultured bacterium
Lineage: Bacteria
Description: bacterial SSU rRNA
Rfam family: Bacterial small subunit ribosomal RNA
Source: RNAcentral
CCCCAGACUCCUACGGGAGGCAGCAGUGGGGAAUAUUGCACAAUGGGGGAAACCCUGAUGCAGCGACGCCGCGUGAGUGAGGAAGUAUUUCGGUAUGUAAAGCUCUAUCAGCAGGGAAGAAAAUGACGGUACCUGACUAAGAAGCCCCGGCUAACUACGUGCCAGCAGCCGCGGUAAUACGUAGGGGGCAAGCGUUAUCCGGAUUUACUGGGUGUAAAGGGAGCGUAGACGGAAUUGCAAGUCUGAUGUGAAAAUCCGGGGCCCAACCCCGGAACUGCAUUGGAAACUGUAUUUCUAGAGUGUCGGAGAGGCAAGUGGAAUUCCUGGUGUAGCGGUGAAAUGCAUAGAUAUCACGCAGAACUCCGAUUGCGAAGGCAGCGCACCGGCGCCCUACUGACGCUCAGGCACGAAAGCGUGGGUAUCGAACAGGAUUAGAUACCCGAGUA